GAUGAACGCUGGCGGCGUGCUUAACACAUGCAAGUCGAACGGUGAAGGCGGAGCUUGCUCUGCUGGAUCAGUGGCGAACGGGUGAGUAACACGUGAGCAAUCUGCCCCUGACUCUGGGAUAAGUGCUGGAAACGGCGUCUAAUACUGGAUACGAGCUGCGAAGGCAUCUUCAGCAGCUGGAAAGAAUUUCGGUCAGGGAUGAGCUCGCGGCCUAUCAGCUUGUUGGUGAGGUAAUGGCUCACCAAGGCGUCGACGGGUAGCCGGCCUGAGAGGGUGACCGGCCACACUGGGACUGAGACACGGCCCAGACUCCUACGGGAGGCAGCAGUGGGGAAUAUUGCACAAUGGGCGAAAGCCUGAUGCAGCAACGCCGCGUGAGGGACGACGGCCUUCGGGUUGUAAACCUCUUUUAGCAGGGAAGAAGCGAAAGUGACGGUACCUGCAGAAAAAGCGCCGGCUAACUACGUG
Molecule: ribosomal RNA, 468 nt
Filed under: uncultured bacterium
Lineage: Bacteria
Description: partial 16S ribosomal RNA
Rfam family: Bacterial small subunit ribosomal RNA
Source: RNAcentral